GAAAUGCGAUAAGUAAUGUGAAUUGCAGAAUUCAGUGAAUCAUCGAAUCUUUGAACGCAUCUUGCGCUCCUUGGUAUUCCUUGGAGCAUGCCUGUUUGAGUAUCAUGAAAUCUUCAAAGUAAAUCUUUUGUUAACUCAAUUGGUUUCUACUUUGGUAUUGGAGGUCUUUGCAGCUUCACACCUGCUCCUCUUUGUUCAUUAGCUGGAUCUCAGUGUUAUGCUUGGUUCCACUCUGCGUGAUAAGUUAUCUAUCGCUGAGGACACUGUAAAAGGUGGCCAAGGUAAAUGCAGAUGAACCGCUUCUAAUAGUCCAUUGACUUGGACAAUACUUUUAUGAUCUGAUCUCAAAUCAGGUAGGACUACCCGCUGAACUUAAGC
RNAcentral lists this unclassified non-coding RNA (378 nucleotides) under plant metagenome. RNAcentral's name for it is "partial contains 5.8S ribosomal RNA, internal transcribed spacer 2, and large subunit ribosomal RNA". The stretch from base 1 to 105 matches the Rfam family "5.8S ribosomal RNA", at positions 50 to 154 of the family's 154-position model. The record is from RNAcentral.